Molecule: transfer RNA, 75 nt
Filed under: Caudoviricetes sp.
Lineage: Duplodnaviria; Heunggongvirae; Uroviricota; Caudoviricetes
Description: tRNA-Thr
Rfam family: tRNA
About the family: Transfer RNA (tRNA) molecules are approximately 80 nucleotides in length.
Source: RNAcentral
GCUUCUAUAGCUCAAUGGUAGAGCAGCCGCCUUGUAAGCGGCAGGUUACGGGUUCAAGUCCUGUUGGAAGCUCCA